GAUGAACGCUGGCGGCGUGCCUAAUACAUGCAAGUCGAGCGAACAGACGAGGAGCUUGCUCCUCUGACGUUAGCGGCGGACGGGUGAGUAACACGUGGAUAACCUACCUAUAAGACUGGGAUAACUUCGGGAAACCGGAGCUAAUACCGGAUAAUAUAUUGAACCGCAUGGUUCAAUAGUGAAAGACGGUUUUGCUGUCACUUAUAGAUGGAUCCGCGCCGCAUUAGCUAGUUGGUAAGGUAACGGCUUACCAAGGCAACGAUGCGUAGCCGACCUGAGAGGGUGAUCGGCCACACUGGAACUGAGACACGGUCCAGACUCCUACGGGAGGCAGCAGUAGGGAAUCUUCCGCAAUGGGCGAAAGCCUGACGGAGCAACGCCGCGUGAAUGAUGAAGGUCUUCGGAUCGUAAAACUCUGUUAUUAGGGAAGAACAAAUGUGUAAGUAACUAUGCACGUCUUGACGGUACCUAAUCAGAAAGCCACGGCUAACUACGUGC
Molecule: ribosomal RNA, 498 nt
Filed under: uncultured bacterium
Lineage: Bacteria
Description: partial 16S ribosomal RNA
Rfam family: Bacterial small subunit ribosomal RNA
Source: RNAcentral